AACGAACGCUGGCGGCAUGCCUAACACAUGCAAGUCGAACGAGAUCUUCGGGUCUAGUGGCGCACGGGUGCGUAACGCGUGGGAAUCUGCCCUUUGGUUCGGAAUAACAGUUGGAAACGACUGCUAAUACCGGAUGAUGACGAAAGUCCAAAGAUUUAUCGCCAGAGGAUGGGCCCGCGUAGGAUUAGCUAGUUGGUGUGGUAAAGGCGCACCAAGGCGACGAUCCUUAGCUGGUCUGAGAGGAUGAUCAGCCACACUGGGACUGAGACACAGCCCAGACGCCUGCGGAAGGCAGCAGUGGUGAAUAUUGGACAAUGGGCGAAAGCCUGGUCCAGCAAUGCCGCGUGAGUGAUGAAGGCCUUAGGGUUGUAAAGCUCUUUUACCCGGGAUGAUAAUGACAGUACCGGGAGAAUAAGCUCCGGCUAACUCCGUGCCAGCCGCCGCCGUAA
This 449-nucleotide ribosomal RNA is filed under the name uncultured bacterium. RNAcentral's name for it is "partial 16S ribosomal RNA". It matches the Rfam family "Bacterial small subunit ribosomal RNA", at positions 29 to 523 of the family's 1533-position model. The record is from RNAcentral.